RNAcentral lists this ribosomal RNA (497 nucleotides) under uncultured bacterium. RNAcentral describes it as "partial 16S ribosomal RNA". It matches the Rfam family "Bacterial small subunit ribosomal RNA", at positions 28 to 507 of the family's 1533-position model. The record is from RNAcentral.
GAUGAACGCUGGCGGCGUGCCUAAUACAUGCAAGUCGAGCGAACGGACGAGAAGCUUGCUUCUCUAAUGUUAGCGGCGGACGGGUGAGUAACACGUGGAUAACCUACCUAUAAGACUGGGAUAACUUCGGGAAACCGUAGCUAAUACCGGAUAAUAUUUUGAACCGCAUGGUUCAAAAGUGAAAGACGGUCUUGCUGUCACUUAUAGAUGGAUCCGCGCUGCAUUAGCUAGUUGGUAAGGUAACGGCUUACCAAGGCAACGAUGCAUAGCCGACCUGAGAGGGUGAUCGGCCACACUGGAACUGAGACACGGUCCAGACUCCUACGGGAGGCAGCAGUAGGGAAUCCUCCGCAAUGGGCGAAAGCCUGACGGAGCAACGCCGCGUGAGUGAUGAAGGUCUUCGGAUCGUAAAACUCUGUUAUUAGGGAAGAACAUAUGUGUAAGUAACUGUGCACAUCUUGACGGUACCUAAUCAGAAAGCCACGGCUAACUACGUG